Molecule: ribosomal RNA, 641 nt
Filed under: Pantoea sp. CLS-2
Lineage: Bacteria; Pseudomonadati; Pseudomonadota; Gammaproteobacteria; Enterobacterales; Erwiniaceae
Description: bacterial SSU rRNA
Rfam family: Bacterial small subunit ribosomal RNA
Source: RNAcentral
AGGGGCUAUUUCGGGCAUUACUGGGCGUAAGCGCACGCAGGCGGUCUGUUAAGUCAGAUGUGAAAUCCCCGGGCUUAACCUGGGAACUGCAUUUGAAACUGGCAGGCUUGAGUCUUGUAGAGGGGGGUAGAAUUCCAGGUGUAGCGGUGAAAUGCGUAGAGAUCUGGAGGAAUACCGGUGGCGAAGGCGGCCCCCUGGACAAAGACUGACGCUCAGGUGCGAAAGCGUGGGGAGCAAACAGGAUUAGAUACCCUGGUAGUCCACGCCGUAAACGAUGUCAACUUGGAGGUUGUUCCCUUGAGGAGUGGCUUCCGGAGCUAACGCGUUAAGUCGACCGCCUGGGGAGUACGGCCGCAAGGUUAAAACUCAAAUGAAUUGACGGGGGCCCGCACAAGCGGUGGAGCAUGUGGUUUAAUUCGAUGCAACGCGAAGAACCUUACCUACUCUUGACAUCCACCGAACUUUCCAGAGAUGGAUUGGUGCCUUCGGGAACGCUGAGACAGGUGCUGCAUGGCUGUCGUCAGCUCGUGUUGUGAAAUGUUGGGUUAAGUCCCGCAACGAGCGCAACCUUUAUCCUUUGUUGCCAGCGAUUCGGUCGGGAACUCAAAGGGGAACUGCCGGGGAUAAACCCGAGGGAAGGU